This 264-nucleotide ribosomal RNA is filed under the name Escherichia coli. RNAcentral describes it as "partial 16S ribosomal RNA". It matches the Rfam family "Bacterial small subunit ribosomal RNA", at positions 1 to 261 of the family's 1533-position model. The record is from RNAcentral. Lineage: Bacteria; Pseudomonadati; Pseudomonadota; Gammaproteobacteria; Enterobacterales; Enterobacteriaceae.
AAAUUGAAGAGUUUGAUCAUGGCUCAGAUUGAACGCUGGCGGCAGGCCUAACACAUGCAAGUCGAACGGUAACAGGAAGCAGCUUGCUGAUUUGCUGACGAGUGGCGGACGGGUGAGUAAUGUCUGGGAAACUGCCUGAUGGAGGGGGAUAACUACUGGAAACGGUAGCUAAUACCGCAUAACGUCGCAAGACCAAAGAGGGGGACCUUAGGGCCUCUUGCCAUCGGAUGUGCCCAGAUGGGAUUAGCUAGUAGGUGGGGUAAA